This 420-nucleotide ribosomal RNA is filed under the name uncultured eukaryote. RNAcentral describes it as "bacterial SSU rRNA". It matches the Rfam family "Eukaryotic small subunit ribosomal RNA", at positions 592 to 1017 of the family's 1831-position model. The record is from RNAcentral.
CAAUAGCGUAUAUUAAAGUUGUUGCAGUUAAAAGCUCGUAGUUGGAUUUCUGGUGGGAGUGUUUGGCCGGCUCAAUGAGUUUGUGCCUAUAUACUUUCGCCAUCCUUGGGGAAAACAUUGCUUGGCAUUUAGUUGUCGAGUUUGGGAUCCCAUCCGUUUACUGUGAAAAAUUAGAGUGUCAAAGCAAGGCUAUGCCGUUGAAUACAUUAGCAUGGAAUAAUAAGAUAGGACCUUGGUACUAUUUUGUUGGUUUGCGUACCUAGGUAAUGAUUAAUAGGGACAGUUGGGGGUAGUUCGUAUUCAAUUGUCAGAGGUGAAAUUCUUGGAUUUAUGGAAGACGAACUACUGCGAAAGCAUUUACCAAGGAUGUUUUCAUUAAUCAAGAACGAAAGUUAGGGGAUCAAAGAUGAUUAGAUACCA